RNAcentral lists this ribosomal RNA (588 nucleotides) under uncultured bacterium. RNAcentral's name for it is "bacterial SSU rRNA". It matches the Rfam family "Bacterial small subunit ribosomal RNA", at positions 35 to 622 of the family's 1533-position model. The record is from RNAcentral.
GCUGGCGGCGUGCUUAACACAUGCAAGUCGAACGAGAAAGUCUCUUCGGAGACGAGUAAAGUGGCGAACGGGUGAGUAACACGUAAGAAUCUACCCUUUAGUGAAGAAUACCCUCGAGAAAUCGAGGCUAAUGCUGCAUAAUCCCCUUCGGGGGCAAAGACGGCCUCUUGCUGUCGCUAAGGGAUGAGCUUGCGCGCUAUUAGUUUGUUGGUAAGGUAAAGGCUUACCAAGGCGAUGAUGGCUAACCGGCCUGAGAGGGUGUUCGGUCACACUGGGACUGAGAUACGGCCCAGACUCCUACGGGAGGCAGCAGUGGGGAAUAUUGCGCAAUGGGCGAAAGCCUGACGCAGCGACGCCGCGUGGAGGAUGAAGGUUUUCGGAUUGUAAACUCCUGUUAAGUGGGAAGAAAGACCUGUAAAUAAUAAGUGCAGGGGAUGACGGUACCACUAGAGAAAGCUCCGGCUAACUUCGUGCCAGCAGCCGCGGUAAGACGAGGGGAGCAAGCGUUAUUCGGAAUUACUGGGCGUAAAGAGCGUGUAGGCGGUCAAUUAAGUUAGUUGUUAAAUUCCUUGGCUUAACCGAGGAUCA